Molecule: long non-coding RNA, 1281 nt
Organism: Vombatus ursinus (common wombat)
Lineage: Eukaryota; Metazoa; Chordata; Mammalia; Diprotodontia; Vombatidae
Exons: 3
Source: RefSeq, a predicted model, not a curated record
UGUGUGAAAACAAGGAAGUCUUAACUGACUUCUCCUCUGUUGGCAUGCAGCAAUCAUGACUGGUUUGGCGCUCCUCUGAAUGACUGAGUGUUCCCGUGCACAUCCCUGACUCCAGGCCUGCAUGCAAUGAUGGGAUCUACUGAUUGACUGACGGGUUCUGAUCAAGCGAUCCCAAGCGGCUGCGACAACUGGCACCCAACGUGGGGCGGAUCGAUGACAGGCCUGACUGAAAACCCCACGGGCAGAGUCUGCUAACUCCAGGAACAGAGCGUCAGCAAGCUUCGAGCUUCAGCCCGACAGAAUCAGGUCUCCUAGACAUUUCCCGUCCCUGGAGGUGGAGAAGGGUAUGCUUGUGUCUCAACAGGUGAAGGAGCAAAGUGGGUGCCAACAAAACCUCUCAAACUUGUCCCUACUCGGGAGACACCCCAGGAAGAAAAGGAGGAGACCCAGCAAGAGGAGGAGAUGAAAGAAAAUGAUGACAUCGACCAGUAGCACCUUGGCACUGCCGAGGUUGAGCUCAUUAAGUUGAAGCAGGAUCUCCUGUGUGACUAUAGAUACACUAGCCUUUGUGUGUCACCUCUCAUUCAUGAUAACAACACUUAACAAUUGGACGGUCAUACGCAACCAUCUAAAUGGUUUAUUUCUCAAUAACACCAUUGAGUCCAAUAUCGAGGGUCUUUACCAAUUGGCCUCUGCUAUAAAAAAUGCUACCAGGGAAGACUUAACCCAUGAUAAGACCGCAGAAAAAAUAUUACAUUGGUUUUAUAAUGCUUCUGCUUGGUGGGCUCUUUCACCCAUUUACUUAUUCUGCUUGUAUUCUUUGGAAUUCUCCUCUGCUGCUUACCUACUAUAAUUGGGUGUGUGCUGAAACUGUAGUAGAGAUGAUUCAUAAAAUCUCAGCCCAAGUACAAGUCCUAAUAGAGAUCCAUCCGCACAGGCAGCUCCUCUAUAAACAAAAAGGGGGAAUUGUCACACGAAUGAUCACGGGGCUGUGCCCUGCCUAUAGGAGUUCUGGCUUCCUCAGCAGGAAGCUGAGGGUCACAGUCUGUUGUGUGAAAACAAGGAAGUCUUAACUGACUUCUCCUCUGUUGGCAUGCAGCAGUCAUGACUGGUUCGGCGCUCCUCUGAAUGACUGAGUGUUCCCGUGCACAUCCCUGACUCCAGGCCUGUAUGCAAUGAUGGGAUCUACUGAUUGACUGACGGGUUCUGAUCACGCGAUCCCAAGGUGCUUUGAGGGCUAUAUAGGACACACCCAGCUAACAAUAAACAGAGCUUCUGCCA